Molecule: ribosomal RNA, 600 nt
Filed under: uncultured bacterium
Lineage: Bacteria
Description: bacterial SSU rRNA
Rfam family: Bacterial small subunit ribosomal RNA
Source: RNAcentral
GGUGACGAGCGGCGGACGGGUUGAGUAAUGUCUGGGAAACUGCCUGAUGGAGGGGGAUAACUACUGGAAACGGUAGCUAAUACCGCAUGCGCCCUACGGGGGAAAGCAGGGGACCUUCGGGCCUUGCGCGAUUGGAUAUGCCCAGGUGGGAUUAGCUAGUUGGUGAGGUAAUGGCUCACCAAGGCGACGAUCCCUAGCUGGUCUGAGAGGAUGAUCAGCAACUGGAACUGAGACACGGUCCAGACUCCUACGGGAGGCAGCAGUGGGGAAUAUUGCACAAUGGGGGAAACCCUGAUGCAGCUAUGCCGCGUGUGUGAAGAAGGCCUUCGGGUUGUAAAGCACUUUCAGCGAGGAGGAAAGGUCAGUAGCUAAUACCUGUGACUGUGACGUUACUCGCAGAAGAAGCAUCGGCUAACUCCGUGCCAGCAGCCGCGGUAAUACGGANGGUGCAAGCGUUAAUCGGAAUUACUGGGCGUAAAGAGACACGCAGGCANGUUGGAUAAGUUAGAUGUGAAAGGACACAGGGAUACAACUGGGAAUUGCAUUUAGAAAAUGUANCAGCUAGAAGUCUUGUAGAGGGGNGGUAGAAUUCCAGGGUGU